UUACCAGGCCUUGACAUGCAGAGAACUUUCCAGAGAUGGAUUGGUGCCUUCGGAACUCUGACACAGGUGCUGCACGGCUGUCGUCAGCUCGUGUCGUGAGAUGUUGGGUUAAGUCCGUAACGAGCGCAACCCUUGUCCUUAGUUACCAGCACGGUUAUGGUGGGCACUCUAAGGAGACUGCCGGUGACAAACCGGAGGAAGGUGGGGAUGACGUCAAGUCAUCAUGGCCUUACGGCCUGGGCUACACACGUGCUACAAUGGUCGGUACAAAGGGUUGCCAAGCCGCGAGGUGGAGCUAAUCCCAUAAAACCGAUCGUAGUCCGGAUCGCAGUCUGCAACUCGACUGCGUGAAGUCGGAAUCGCUAGUAAUCGUGAAUCAGAAUGUCACGGUGAAUACGUUCCCGGGCCUU
RNAcentral lists this ribosomal RNA (410 nucleotides) under uncultured Pseudomonas sp. RNAcentral describes it as "bacterial SSU rRNA". It matches the Rfam family "Bacterial small subunit ribosomal RNA", at positions 971 to 1382 of the family's 1533-position model. The record is from RNAcentral. Lineage: Bacteria; Pseudomonadati; Pseudomonadota; Gammaproteobacteria; Pseudomonadales; Pseudomonadaceae.